This 670-nucleotide long non-coding RNA is filed under the name Pan troglodytes (chimpanzee). RNAcentral describes it as "long non-coding RNA NONPTRT017023". The record is from RNAcentral. Lineage: Eukaryota; Metazoa; Chordata; Mammalia; Primates; Hominidae.
AGAGGUGCCAAGCCCUGCCAGACAGGUCUUCAAGCGAAAGCAGAACUGGUGACCUAUAAAUAUCCACAAGGUGCCGGAACACAUGAACAAAGAGAUAGGGACAAAUAUUACAGAUGUUUGAGAGUCUGGAUCUCCAGUCGAAGAAAGAAUAAAAAGAGCCCUGGUACAAUACUGGUAGACAGAGAACUGGUAGGCGAGGCUGGGAAACCAGAUAACAAAGCCCACGGCGAUUCAGAACCCAGAGUAAACAGGCUGGAAGCGAGGCUGAGCAGCUCUCCUGCCUAAGGCAUGGACUUUGCCAGACAGACCCCGGACUCUCUUCAUCUUCCGCCCUGAUGACCCUUCAACUCUGAACUACUCUGCUGCAAUAGAGGAAGCAUUUACAGGGAAGACACUACAACAUGAAACACGAAGGCUUGACAGAUUUUCCUCUUCUCAUUUUAUUCAAGUUCGGCAAAUGUCUAAUAGGUUGAUUCCCUGCAUAAGUAAUUUUCCCAAAAGAUAGUAUCUUUCUAAUUGGGAAAUGAAGAACCCUCCCGAUAAAGUCUACAACAUUGCUGAAAGUUAGAAUCACAUGCAAUCAGUCCAGCCACUGAGAAACACUUCAACUGACCCGCAUGAAAAAUGCCCAUCUAGCUCUGUGACCUUAAACUAGUAACUUUACCUCUGU